RNAcentral lists this long non-coding RNA (354 nucleotides) under Elaeis guineensis (African oil palm). RNAcentral's name for it is "long non-coding RNA (EGUI_LNC040497)". Lineage: Eukaryota; Viridiplantae; Streptophyta; Magnoliopsida; Arecales; Arecaceae. The record is from RNAcentral.
UGUGCAUGGCACGGGUGUCCUCCUUGUACAAGGAUAGUGUAGAAGAGCUACAAGAAGCUCGACCCCUUUCCAAGUUCCUUAAUGGUGUCAAUGAAGUCCAAUCUUUUAUCCCAAAAAGGAUGCUUUCCAAAACCUUCACUUCGAUACUCCAAAAUUUUCUUGAGCCACAAGCAUAGUAGCAAAUCCAAAAAUUUUAUUUUAUGAGAUCAAUAUAAUAAAAAAAUUAUUUUAUAUGAUCAAUAUAAUAAAAGAAGCAAGGAGCUAUCACACAAAGAGAGAAGAAAUGAAAAAUAAUAAUAAUAAAAUAUUUUUUUUAAAAAUAAAAUAUAUAAAAAAAUAAUAAUAUGUAAUAUC